Molecule: ribosomal RNA, 492 nt
Filed under: uncultured bacterium
Lineage: Bacteria
Description: partial 16S ribosomal RNA
Rfam family: Bacterial small subunit ribosomal RNA
Source: RNAcentral
AGUGAACGCUGGCGGCAGGCCUAACACAUGCAAGUCGAACGGCAGCACAGUGCUUUUUUGCUCUUCUGGGUUGCGUGUCGGGUGCGUGAGACGUAUAUAUCCUUCUCUUCUCUUUCGGGGGAUAUCAUGUAGCUAGUUCUACUCCUAUAUCGUAUCCCCUUCUCGGUUGAGGGGGGUGGAUCUUUGCAUCUUGCGCGUUUGUAUGCGCCGCUGUUGGUCUAGCUAGUUGGGGGGGUAAAGGCCCACCAAGGCGAGGAUAGGUAGCUGGUCUGAGAGGAGGAUCAGCCACACUGGAACGGAGACACGGACAAGACUACUAAGGGAGGCAGCAGUAGGGAAUAUUGGACAAUGGGCGCAAGCCUGAUACAGCCAGACCGAGUGGGUGAAGAAGGCCUUCGGGUUGUAAAGACCGUUUGUUGGGGAAGAAAAGCAGCAGGCUAAUACCAAGCUGUUCUGACGGUACCGGAAGAAUAAGCACCGGCUAACUUCGUG